This is a long non-coding RNA of Parambassis ranga (Indian glassy fish), 412 nucleotides long. NCBI's taxonomy places the organism in Eukaryota, Metazoa, Chordata, Actinopteri, Ambassidae. The record is from Ensembl.
ACUGUGCUGAACAGAUUGUGAAUGCAGCUGUGGACAUUUACAACUGUUUGAGUGUGGAUCUGCUGCCCGCACCAGCUAAGUCCCACUAGGUCUUCAAUCUCCGGGACCUAUCCAAAUUUGUCGAAGGUAUACUGCAGUGUGAGCCCAGUCAGCUGAGAGACCCAGGUCUUCCGUCUCUUCUGCCAUGACUGUCAGCGGGUAUUCCAUGACCGACUCACCAACAGCGAAGAUGAGACUUAUUUCAACACCCUCAUCUGCGAAAUGGCCAGCAGAUAUUUUAACAUUAACUUGGAACCUUCAGCCCAUCAUAUUUGGAGACUUCAUCAAGGUGGGCACAGAGAAAGAAGAUCGCCUUUAUGAGGGUCUGACAGAUAUGAAUACGAUCCAGGCUGUGCUUCAGGAGUAUGUAUGA